GCUGAAAAUAUCAAAAUUAACGGUGCUGAGAAAAAAAUUGAAAACUUAACAAAACUUCAGCUGAUAGGAUCAAAUAUCAAUCUCUGAAUCGUACAUUUAUUAAUUAUGGAUUUUUUAAACAGUCGAGUGGAAUUACCAAGGUUAUUUUGACCGACAUUUGCCAGCAAAACGUUCCUUUUAAGAUUGCAAUUUUUUUAAAGACAAACGUCUUUAGUUUUGUUAAGAAUAUUUUAUGCUCUCUCUGGAUGAUGGCUCAUAUCCAUUUACGAUCGCGAAAAAGUUCCAAGAAAUGUUGCUCGGAACUGCGCGCGGAACAAAACAGAAACCAAAAGAGGUUCAAAAGAAGAGCAAUCAAAGACCCAAGUUUCUCAAGAAGUCAAUCAAGUAAAAACCAAAAUUUUUUUAACUAAAGUAUGACGAUGACUCUCGAACACGGACUUGUCGGCUAUCAGCACGAUGUCGAAAAAGAAUCGAAGAAGGAGAAGGGUCGAGAUGGACUCAGCCUAGCAUCGUUUCGAGGAAAAAGUAAACGAAAGUUUUCAUUUAAUUUCGGCCAAAAGCUAAAGCGUGAUGGGAUGACGAACUAGUUAUGCAACUCCGAGGCCCUGAAAAGUUUAACAACGACAACAACAAAAGAAAUGCGUAGAAAGGGAUUUCAAAUAAAGCGACCAAAUGCAGAAAUCGAUCAGACGAAGUAAAGCACAGCGAAAAGGGCAAACAUGAUUGUGGUACACAAGAAAAUGACUGAAUGUCGAAAAAGAUUAGAAGAAAUGGAAGAAAUCAGGUAUAUUAAUUAUGGGACAACGGCACUAGCCGUCUGCACAAGGUCUGACUGUAAGAACCAUUCAACAAAGCAUCUUGUUUUAACUGCGGAAAGUAAAAAUGUCUUCCAGAGGGCACCCUAUACGACAACCACAACAGGACCCACUAAAUGCUGGACAUAAUUUCAACCGUGAACUUAGACAUGGCGUUUCUACGAGUGGACAGCCUGUACAACAACCACAGCACGACCCAUUGAACGCUGAAUAUCAUUUUAUCGGUAAUCAUAGAAAUUUCCACGUUUCUACGAGUGGACAGCCUGUACAACAACCACAGCAGGACCCAUUGAAUGCUGAAGCUAUUAACAGAGACGUCGACAGAAGUAUCAGAAGAAUGUCAGAAAGAAUACCCCCAGAAUUAUAGAACCUCCACCGCGCACAAUAAGCCUGAAGCGAGAUGACGUUUUACCCCCGUCUCUAGACCAUAAUCCUUUUCACAUUGCUUUUGUUCUUUAAUUAUGACUAUUGUUCCUGUAUUCUCUAAGGAAUCAAAAAUUUUAAUAUGAAAGAAUUUAAAAAACUAUUAUGGUAUAGAGUCGGGGGUAAAAUGUCAUCUCGCUUCAGGCUUAUUGUGAUAAACAUAAAGUGAGUAGCUUUUCUACAACAAUAGCUUAUUCAAUAAUGAAGGCAAAUAAUAAAUAAUAGUGACAAGGAGAAAAUGAUUUUAAUUAAUAUUUCAAUUACGGUUUGGAUUAAAUGCAAGAUAAGUCAAUUUUGGAUAGAGGUGAAUUAGAAUUCAGUACCGAGGAUGUUACCAAGAAAAAGCAACUUUAAUUGAGAAUAGACCUUUUUAACUUCGUAUGCAAAUUGACCAUUUCAGAUCAUGACAUUUCCUUGAGAAUUAUUCUCUAAGUGGCAUCACAUGGUCUGAUAUUUGCAAAACAAACGAAGCUAAAUAGGUCUUGCAUGGUGCUCAAGUGUGCCAGGGUGCAUUUAUUUUUUAAAUACCUUUCACACUUUUUUUUAAGUAAACGUCCAGCUAAAUUUCAAACACUAUCAUCUUAAAAUUGAUAGAGACGACUCAUUUUUUCAAAAAAAGUUCACAUAGUUGGCAUUUGCAAAUGAUGAAAACUCAUAACAAGACAUGCGGAUAAUAUGGGGCGUGGCAAAACGAGCCCCCUCAAUCAUUUUAUUCCUGCUACGGGCCUGUUAUCUAAGUAAUAAUCUUAUUAUCUUACGAUUUAUUCUUCAUUCUCUGAUGCUGGUUUGUUAUCUGAUUUUCUCAUUGCAGGUUAGAAUGAAACUAUGGCGUAUCCAGGAUUUGAAUUAGAAUUAUUAAACAUUACUUAAAUAAACGAGCAGGAGUGUUUUAUCGGGUAUAAAACACGAGGCGUAGCCGAGUGGUUUUAGACCCGAUAAAACACGAUCUGCGAGUUUAUUAAACGGCUUAAAAAACUCC
RNA transcript from Actinia tenebrosa (Australian red waratah sea anemone), 2217 nucleotides. RefSeq lists it as uncharacterized. The record is from RefSeq and is a predicted model, not a curated record. NCBI's taxonomy places the organism in Eukaryota, Metazoa, Cnidaria, Anthozoa, Actiniaria, Actiniidae.